UCUCCGUUGGUGAACCAGCGGAGGGAUCAUUACAGGACUCGCAAGACUCCCGUAACCCACGCGAACCUUACCUUUGCAUCGUUGCCUCGGCGGGCUUGCGCUCCCUCGGGAGCCCCCGCCGGCGGCCUACAACUCUUCUGCUUCUUAAGCGUUGGCAUCUCCGAGUAAAAACACAAACGAAUCAAAACUUUCAACAACGGAUCUCUUGGUUCUGGCAUCGAUGAAGAACGCAGC
Molecule: unclassified non-coding RNA, 234 nt
Filed under: uncultured fungus
Lineage: Eukaryota; Fungi
Description: sequence contains ITS1, 5.8S rRNA gene
Rfam family: 5.8S ribosomal RNA (bases 186-234)
Source: RNAcentral